Prunus persica (peach) is the source of this 928-nucleotide long non-coding RNA. RefSeq lists it as uncharacterized. The record is from RefSeq and is a predicted model, not a curated record. The transcript has 2 exons. NCBI's taxonomy places the organism in Eukaryota, Viridiplantae, Streptophyta, Magnoliopsida, Rosales, Rosaceae.
GCAACACAGUAGAGAGAGACAGAGAGAGAGAGAGAGAGAAGCAAAACUAUGGUCAGAGAAACCCCACCACCUAUUUCUUCUCUAAACAGUAGUGGAGAGGGUGAGCUGUACAUAUCAGUGGCAUAAGCAUCUCUCUCCGAGUCUCUCUGUCCCUGAUGAAAUAGCUGGAGAUGGAGGGAGAGAGGAGAGAGAGAGAGAGCCUUAGCCUUGUAUUGUAGUUUGUCCAUGUUGAAUGAGUAAAUACUAAAUAGUAAAUACACAUUCAUUAUGGUCAUAAGUAUCAAAAGCUAUCCUGAAAAAGAAAAGAAAUGAAAAGAAAAGCCCAUUUCUUUUUUUAUUUUUGAAACUUUAUUGCUUUCUUUUGGUAUAUAGUAACAACAAACACCAGUGCUUUGCCAGAUUUGUGUAGAGAGAUCAGAGAAAGAGAGAUCCUUCAAUAUAUCGCUUUCCCUUCUCUGAUUCUCACGAAAGACAGCGACACUUCCUCUCCCUUCUCCCCCCUUUUUUUCUCUCCUACUCCUUUAACACAAACCCUUCUUGAUUUUUGCAUCACUCUUUCAUUUCUCUUAAUUUUUAUAAAUCUUAUUUAAUUCUUUCUGGAUUUUGUCUAUAUUUUUGGUUUCUUUCCUUUAAUACAUAAUCACAGACUUCACAGUGCGGCUGCUGAUCGUGGUUGAAGCACGGAUUUACUUUUCCCUGAAGUUGUGAGGACGUUUCGAUGGAGGUUCUAUUAUUAGUUAUAUGAUCUUACGUGUGUGUAUGAAGAUCUGAAGUGAAUUAAAAUAAGCAGUUCAUUGGGUGUCGAUAAUGGAAGUACACAAAAAAAGAUAUUGGAAGUACACUUGAAGUAGAUUUUUAAUUGUAUUUAUCGAGUAAUGAGCAUGUGUUAUGGUGUUUGAUUAGUUUAUUAAGGUGAAGUUAAUUAAUA